AUUGAACGCUGGCGGCAUGCCUUACACAUGCAAGUCGAACGGCAGCACGGAGAGCUUGCUCUCUGAUGGCGAGUGGCGAACGGGUGAGUAAAGCAUCGGAACGUACCGUGUAGUGGGGGAUAACGUAGCGAAAGUUACGCUAAUACCGCAUACGCACUGAGGUGGAAAGCAGGGGAUCGUAAGACCUUGCGCUAUACGAGCGGCCGAUGUAAGAUUAGCUAGUUGUUAGGGUAAAGGCCUACCAAGGGCACGAUCUGCAGCGGGUCUGAGAGGAUGAUCCGCCGCACUGGGACUGAGACACGGCCCAGACUCCUACGGGAGGCAGCAGUGGGGAAUUUGGGACAAUGGGGGCAACCCUGAUCCAGCCAUGCCGCGUGAGUGAAGAAGGCCUUCGGGUUGUAAAGCUCUUUCGGCCGGGAAGAAAUCGCACAGGCUAAUACCCUGUGUGGAUGACGGUACCGGCAUAAGAAACACCGGCUAACUACGUGCCAGCCGCCGCAGUAA
This 504-nucleotide ribosomal RNA is filed under the name uncultured bacterium. RNAcentral describes it as "partial 16S ribosomal RNA". It matches the Rfam family "Bacterial small subunit ribosomal RNA", at positions 30 to 523 of the family's 1533-position model. The record is from RNAcentral.